RNAcentral lists this ribosomal RNA (717 nucleotides) under Staphylococcus aureus. RNAcentral's name for it is "partial 23S ribosomal RNA". It matches the Rfam family "Bacterial large subunit ribosomal RNA", at positions 202 to 918 of the family's 2925-position model. Lineage: Bacteria; Bacillati; Bacillota; Bacilli; Caryophanales; Staphylococcaceae. The record is from RNAcentral.
CUUAGUACCCGGAGGAAGAGAAAGAAAAUUCGAUUCCCUUAGUAGCGGCGAGCGAAACGGGAAGAGCCCAAACCAACAAGCUUGCUUGUUGGGGUUGUAGGACACUCUAUACGGAGUUACAAAGGACGACAUUAGACGAAUCAUCUGGAAAGAUGAAUCAAAGAAGGUAAUAAUCCUGUAGUCGAAAAUGUUGUCUCUCUUGAGUGGAUCCUGAGUACGACGGAGCACGUGAAAUUCCGUCGGAAUCUGGGAGGACCAUCUCCUAAGGCUAAAUACUCUCUAGUGACCGAUAGUGAACCAGUACCGUGAGGGAAAGGUGAAAAGCACCCCGGAAGGGGAGUGAAAUAGAACCUGAAACCGUGUGCUUACAAGUAGUCAGAGCCCGUUAAUGGGUGAUGGCGUGCCUUUUGUAGAAUGAACCGGCGAGUUACGAUUUGAUGCAAGGUUAAGCAGUAAAUGUGGAGCCGUAGCGAAAGCGAGUCUGAAUAGGGCGUUUAGUAUUUGGUCGUAGACCCGAAACCAGGUGAUCUACCCUUGGUCAGGUUGAAGUUCAGGUAACACUGAAUGGAGGACCGAACCGACUUACGUUGAAAAGUGAGCGGAUGAACUGAGGGUAGCGGAGAAAUUCCAAUCGAACCUGGAGAUAGCUGGUUCUCUCCGAAAUAGCUUUAGGGCUAGCCUCAAGUGAUGAUUAUUGGAGGUAGAGCACUGUUUGGA